RNAcentral lists this ribosomal RNA (270 nucleotides) under uncultured archaeon. RNAcentral's name for it is "partial 16S ribosomal RNA". It matches the Rfam family "Archaeal small subunit ribosomal RNA", at positions 477 to 747 of the family's 1478-position model. The record is from RNAcentral.
CAGCCCCUCGAGUGGUGGGGAUGAUUAUUUGGCCUAAAGCGUCCGUAGCCGGCCGAGCAAGUCUUCCGUUAAAUCCAGCGUCUCAAGUGUUGGACCGCGGGAGAUACUACACGGCUAGAGAGUGGGAGAGGUCAGCGGUAUUCUGGGGGUAGGGGCGAAAUCCUUUGAUCCCCGGAGGACCACCAGUGGCGAAGGCUGCUGACUAGAACACGUCUGACGGUCAGGGACGAAAGCUGGGGUAGCGAACCGGAUUAGAUACCCGAGUAGUCC